Molecule: ribosomal RNA, 803 nt
Filed under: uncultured bacterium
Lineage: Bacteria
Description: bacterial SSU rRNA
Rfam family: Bacterial small subunit ribosomal RNA
Source: RNAcentral
AUGCAACCUACCCUGUACUGGGGGAUAACCCGGAGAAAUUCGGACUAAUACCCCAUAAUGAUAUUAAGAGGCAUCUCUAUAUAUUUAAAGUUACGACGGUACGGGAUGGGCAUGCGUAAGAUUAGCUAGUUGGCAGGGUAACGGCCUACCAAGGCUUCGAUCUUUAGGGGUCCUGAGAGGGUGAUCCCCCACACUGGUACUGAGACACGGACCAGACUCCUACGGGAGGCAGCAGUGAGGAAUAUUGGUCAAUGGGCGCAAGCCUGAACCAGCCAUCCCGCGUGAAGGAAGAAGGCGCUAUGCGUUGUAAACUUCUUUUCCAGGGAAAUAAAAUUUCGUACGUGUACGGAACUGAAGGUACCCUGGGAAUAAGCAUCGGCUAACUCCGUGCCAGCAGCCGCGGUAAUACGGAGGAUGCAAGCGUUAUCCGGAUUUAUUGGGUUUAAAGGGUGCGCAGGCGGAAUAAUAAGUCAGUGGUGAAAUCCUGCAGCUUAACUGUAGAAUUGCCAUUGAUACUGUUGUUCUUGAGUGUGGUCAAGGUAGGCGGAAUGUGUAAUGUAGCGGUGAAAUGCUUAGAUAUUACACAGAACACCGAUGCGAAGGCAGCUUACUGGGCCACUACUGACGCUCAUGCACGAAAACGUGGGGAUCGAACAGGAUUAGAUACCCUGGUAGUCCACGCCGUAACGAUGAUCACUCGCUGUUAGCGAUACACUGUUAGCGGCUAAGCAAAAGCAUUAAGUGAUCCACCUGGGGAGUACGACCGCAAGGUUGAAACUCAAAGGAAUUGACGGGGCCCGCAC